This 18-nucleotide non-coding RNA is filed under the name Arabidopsis thaliana (thale cress). The record is from RNAcentral. Lineage: Eukaryota; Viridiplantae; Streptophyta; Magnoliopsida; Brassicales; Brassicaceae.
CUUAUGUUGCAGUUGGUC